Cyprinodon tularosa is the source of this 1463-nucleotide long non-coding RNA. RefSeq lists it as uncharacterized. The transcript has 3 exons. NCBI's taxonomy places the organism in Eukaryota, Metazoa, Chordata, Actinopteri, Cyprinodontiformes, Cyprinodontidae. The record is from RefSeq and is a predicted model, not a curated record.
AUAUAUUAUUGCGUAAUUUCCUUUACCGUCUAAUGUACAUGUAGCCUCAUGCUACACAGCUGCCCUCGGGAAUAAAAAGCCUUUUUAAAAAACUUUAGAGGGAGACUUGAAGGAUUUGCUUUGUGAAGCUGCUGCACCUUCUUCUUUGACAGAUUCCAGCUGUGCCAGGUGUGCAAAAACUCACUUUUUAUUCACAACCAGGAGUGAGCAGACAUGGCUGUCAGUGAGCUGCUUCUAAACUAUCUGGACGAGUUGACCAAAGACGAGUUUGACAGGUUUAAGUGGUAUCUAACAAAUCCGGGGCUGGAUAAUUUUAAACCAAUUCCCAAGGCUCACCUAGAAGGUGCAAAGCGAAAUAGACACAGUGAACAAGAUGAUGCAGAACUACAGGGAAGAAGGUGCUUUGAAGGUCACGGUAACCAUCCUAAGGAAGCUACGCAGGAAUGAUCUUGCAGAGAAACUUUCAAAAGAAAAAGCGGGAAUGCAAAGCGCUGCAUCCUCAACCUCUGCCACCUCUUCUGCGACGCCUGCUGCUGGUCCAUCAGUUGUAGCUCACGAAGGAAGCGUGAUCAUUGCCCCAAACCUCAAUAACAGUGGCCAUGGAACAUGGAAUAUAAAUAUUAGAAAAGAUGAUUAAAUUCAUACCAUAGAAUUGUACUUAUUUUAACUCAGGUUAUAUUUUCAAAUCAGCUUUACUCCUGAAUCUCCAAAGCAUCAUCAGCAUCAGGAGUUAGUGUAAUCAAUUAUUUUCCUCUUUUUUAACAUUGUGACAUCAUCCUUAAAUGCAGUUAUCUAUCUUAUAAAUCUACACCUGCAGUAGUUGGAACAUUCAGCAACACAGAAACAUGACAAAUUAUUUUACCUUUUUUUCUAUAAACCCAUGUGGAGUAUCUUGGAUUUCUUUUUUUAGUUGUCAAUUGAUUUUAUGUGUGUGGCGUUCCUCUAAGUCAUCGCAUACUUCACUCACCUGCCAAUGUUUCCUCCUGGUCUGAUGCAUUACUGAUUUUGACUAACAAUGUUUAAGAAGCAAGACAAACACAGGUGCAACAAAGUGAUGCACAGUUAUUAUCAUAGAACAUUUAAACUCUUUAACUAGACUUUUUCAGCAAGACACACUUUAACUCACUUCUAUGGCCACUAGUCUGCUGCAUAAAACAAUGUUUGGUCUGCAAAGUGGUGAAACCAAAAUAACAGUGAUACAUAUGUGUUUGCUUUAGACCCAUUUUAAUCAAAGUUCUUCCUAGCUCAUCUCAUACCUUUAUAAUAAGAUGUUCACCUAUGAUUUUCAUGUGUAUCUGGUGGAGGAUUUGUAUCAUUUCCUAUGUUGUUUCUGAUAUUUUGAUGAUUUUCUGUGAAGUUUUUUGAUGAUUUUACUUUUUGAAUGUUUUUAUGAUAUAAAGCGCUUUGAAUUGCCUUUCCGCUGAAAUGUUCUCUAUGAAUAAAUUUCUUACUUACUCCAUUUA